RNAcentral lists this transfer RNA (72 nucleotides) under Heterocephalus glaber (naked mole-rat). It matches the Rfam family "tRNA". From Rfam's summary of the family: Transfer RNA (tRNA) molecules are approximately 80 nucleotides in length. Their secondary structure includes four short double-helical elements and three loops (D, anti-codon, and T loops). Further hydrogen bonds mediate the characteristic L-shaped molecular structure. tRNAs have two regions of fundamental functional importance: the anti-codon, which is responsible for specific mRNA codon recognition, and the 3' end, to which the tRNAs corresponding amino acid is attached (by aminoacyl-tRNA synthetases). tRNAs cope with the degeneracy of the genetic code in two manners: having more than one tRNA (with a specific anti-codon) for a particular amino acid; and 'wobble' base-pairing, i.e. permitting non-standard base-pairing at the 3rd anti-codon position. Lineage: Eukaryota; Metazoa; Chordata; Mammalia; Rodentia; Bathyergidae. The record is from Rfam by way of RNAcentral.
GGGGAUGUAGCUCAGUGGUGGUGCACUUGCCUAGUAUGCAUGAGACCCUGGGUUUAAUCCACAGUACUCCCC